GAUGAACGCUGGCGGCGUGCCUAAUACAUGCAAGUCGAGCGAACAGACGAGGAGCUUGCUCCUCUGACGUUAGCGGCGGACGGGUGAGUAACACGUGGAUAACCUACCUAUAAGACUGGGAUAACUUCGGGAAACCGGAGCUAAUACCGGAUAAUAUAUUGAACCGCAUGGUUCAAUAGUGAAAGACGGUUUUGCUGUCACUUAUAGAUGGAUCCGCGCCGCAUUAGCUAGUUGGUAAGGUAACGGCUUAACAAGGCAACGAUGCGAAGCCGACCUGAGAGGGUGCUCGGCCACCCUGGAACUGAGACACGGCCCAGACUCCUACGGGAGGCAGCAGUAGGGAAUCUUCCGCAAUGGGCGAAAGCCUGACGGAGCAACGCCGCGUGGGUGAUGAAGGUCUUCGGAUCGUAAAACUCUGUUAUUAGGGAGGAACAAAUGUGUAAGUAACUAUGCACGUCUUGACGGUACCUAAUCAGAAAGCCACGGCUAACUACGUG
RNAcentral lists this ribosomal RNA (497 nucleotides) under uncultured bacterium. RNAcentral describes it as "partial 16S ribosomal RNA". It matches the Rfam family "Bacterial small subunit ribosomal RNA", at positions 28 to 507 of the family's 1533-position model. The record is from RNAcentral.